GAUGAAGAACGCAGCGAAAUACGAUAAGUAAUGUGAAUUGCAGAAUUCAGUGAAUCAUCGAAUCUUUGAACGCACAUUGCGCCCGCCAGUAUUCUGGCGGGCAUGCCUGUUCGAGCGUCAUUUCAACCAUCAAGCCCCCGGGCUUGUGUUGGGGACCUGCGGCUGCCGCAGGCCCUGAAAAGCAGUGGCGGGCUCGCUGUCACACCGAGCGUAGUAGAUUUUAUCUCGCUCUGGGCGUGCUGCGGGUUCCGGCCGUUAAACCACCCUUUUAACCCAAGGUUGACCUCGGAUCAGGUAGGAAGACCCGCUGAACUUAAGCAUAUCAAUAAGCGGAGGA
RNAcentral lists this unclassified non-coding RNA (337 nucleotides) under soil metagenome. Its description in RNAcentral is "partial contains 5.8S ribosomal RNA, internal transcribed spacer 2, and large subunit ribosomal RNA". The stretch from base 1 to 120 matches the Rfam family "5.8S ribosomal RNA", at positions 35 to 154 of the family's 154-position model. The record is from RNAcentral.